This 260-nucleotide long non-coding RNA is filed under the name Capsella rubella. RNAcentral describes it as "long non-coding RNA (CRUB_LNC002827)". The record is from RNAcentral. Lineage: Eukaryota; Viridiplantae; Streptophyta; Magnoliopsida; Brassicales; Brassicaceae.
UGCUUAAUAAAUUACGGAAAUUUAUGGGCUUUGAGUGGAGUUUUUUUUUCUUCUUUCGGUUAAGGAUAAUGGAAGAACAUUAAAUUAAUAACAGUGAAAAUCUUAAUGACAGUAAAUGUUUGGAAUAAGGGACAACCGCAACUUAAAGAAGGUAUUAAAACUUCACAAAAAGACUUGGCCAAGAAGGCAGCAACCUAGUGACUAGUGAGAAUAUGUCACCGUUCGAUAAAGUUGCACUUAACUGAUGACGAUUAAUAAAU